This 716-nucleotide ribosomal RNA is filed under the name Robustodorus megadorus. RNAcentral's name for it is "eukaryotic LSU rRNA". It matches the Rfam family "Eukaryotic large subunit ribosomal RNA", at positions 399 to 944 of the family's 3401-position model. The record is from RNAcentral. Lineage: Eukaryota; Metazoa; Nematoda; Chromadorea; Rhabditida; Aphelenchoididae.
GUGAACCGUUAUAGUGGAAGCGUAUGAAGCCGACGUAUCUGGUGCGUAUUCAGCCGUUUCGUUUUGCGACUUGCAGGUGUGGGUUUUCGUAAGAUGCCUCGCUUGUGUGUAUCGCGCAAUGGAGUGGUGCAUUUGCGUACAGAGUGCGUCGAAUCGAUCGGAAGCGCGCGGCUUGGUGGGCGUGUAGAGGACUAACCUGCGGGUUUGAAUCCUGUCCGCCCGGAUGGCUGAUGUGUCUGGUCGUCCCGCAAUGGGGUUGCUGGUGAAUUCGCGAUUGGCCUCUUCGAUUUCAUUCGUUUACGUAUGGCGCUUGCGUUCUGCGUUUACGGGCGGCGUCGAGGAGGUCGGUUGCCCCGCAGCUUAUUCGGCGUANAGUCGGUCACUCAUAUGACCCGUCUUGAAACACGGACCUGGGAGUUUAAGGUGUACGCAAGUCAUUGAAUUCGCGUGAAAUUCAAAGGCGUAAUGAAAGUGAGCUGUUUAAUGGUUGUGAUGUGAGCAAUUGGGGCGUUAAAACCUCGGAUGUGCAACAUCGCCCCAUGACUAGACCGCGGUCUGUUGUGGAGGCUGAGCGUACGCUUUGAGACCCGAAAGAUGGUGAACUAUGCCUGAACAGGACGAAGUCAGAGGAAACUCUGAUGGAAGUCCGAAGCGGUUCUGACGUGCAAAUCGAUCGUCUGAUUUAGGUAUAGGGGCGCAAGACUAAUCGAACCAUC